RNAcentral lists this long non-coding RNA (739 nucleotides) under Oreochromis niloticus (Nile tilapia). RNAcentral's name for it is "lncRNA (ENSONIG00000025045.2)". The record is from RNAcentral. Lineage: Eukaryota; Metazoa; Chordata; Actinopteri; Cichliformes; Cichlidae.
GGGAAUGUUUUGUUUUUCACCCAAAAUGAACUAUAUUGCUUCGGAAGAGAUUUAUUACUCUGCCUGACUCUUAUAUAUUGUUCUGUUUUUUGUUUGUUUUUGUUGUUUUCAGGUUCAAUGGUGCGUGUUCUUCUAAUGGCCGCCUUCCCACUGGAGGUUUUGAUCCACAGCAAUUUAAAAGGAGGACAGAUCAAAACGGACAUCGUCGCAGAGUGAAGAACUGCCCUUCAUAAGGACACUAUGACAGCCAUAUAUAGUAAGUGAAGACUUUCUGUCUAUCUAAAAUUGCAUACAGCACAAGUAACUUACUUUGCAACCAUUAAAAUAGGUUGUAAAGUAAGUUACCAAUACAAAUAGGUGAUGAUGCAUUGUAGUGGUUGGUCUCAGACAAAGAAGGUCAACAGAUUUAUGAAUGCUGGAGGGUAAGGAGAGACAACCAAAAGGGGUGUUAGCAUUACUGUAAUGUGAACUGGAUAGACUUUCCAUCUAGGAAAAAAAGGGGUAAAAUUAUGCGUAAAAUAUAUCUGUAUUAAUAUCUGUAUCUAUAUAAACAGAAAUAUCUGUUUACUAAAUGAAGCCAGCUAACAUAAAUCAUAUUUUUAUUUUAACUCUGAUAAAAGUAAUAGAACUGUGACUUUUGUUUGUUGCAGUGGCAGUAAGGAAGAGGUUUCCCAAUGUGUCCAGAAGGGCUUUGAGGAUUGCAGUGAAAGCUGGGGGAACUGAGACUGCUGGAAAAGGA